AACUAUGGCCAUGCCACCCUGAACCAAAGCCCGAUCCUGUCUCAUCUCAGAAGCUAAGCAUGGUCAGGCCUGUUUAGUACUUGGAUGGGAGACCACCUAGGAAGACCAGGCUCUGUAAGCG
Pteropus vampyrus (large flying fox) is the source of this 121-nucleotide ribosomal RNA. Lineage: Eukaryota; Metazoa; Chordata; Mammalia; Chiroptera; Pteropodidae. The record is from Ensembl.